This 73-nucleotide microRNA precursor is filed under the name Ardeotis kori. RNAcentral describes it as "mir-456 microRNA precursor family". It matches the Rfam family "mir-456 microRNA precursor family". Lineage: Eukaryota; Metazoa; Chordata; Aves; Otidiformes; Otididae. RNAcentral also lists the same sequence under 1 other name. The record is from Rfam by way of RNAcentral.
GUGUGAGCAGGCAUCUUCUCAGCCUACAUGUGGAUUCCCAGAUCUGCAGGCUGGUUAGAUGGUUGUCAUGCAU